This 724-nucleotide ribosomal RNA is filed under the name Microbacterium sp. RNAcentral's name for it is "bacterial SSU rRNA". It matches the Rfam family "Bacterial small subunit ribosomal RNA", at positions 659 to 1381 of the family's 1533-position model. The record is from RNAcentral. Lineage: Bacteria; Bacillati; Actinomycetota; Actinomycetes; Micrococcales; Microbacteriaceae.
GAUAGGAAUUCCUGGUGUAGCGGUGGAAUGCGCAGAUAUCAGGAGGAACACCGAUGGCGAAGGCAGAUCUCUGGGCCGUAACUGACGCUGAGGAGCGAAAGGGUGGGGAGCAAACAGGCUUAGAUACCCUGGUAGUCCACCCCGUAAACGUUGGGAACUAGAUGUGGGGACCAUUCCACGGUCUCCGUGUCGCAGCUAACGCAUUAAGUUCCCCGCCUGGGGAGUACGGCCGCAAGGCUAAAACUCAAAGGAAUUGACGGGGGCCCGCACAAGCGGCGGAGCAUGCGGAUUAAUUCGAUGCAACGCGAAGAACCUUACCAAGGCUUGACAUAUACGAGAACGGGCCAGAAAUGGUCAACUCUUUGGACACUCGUAUACAGGUGGUGCAUGGUUGUCGUCAGCUCGUGUCGUGAGAUGUUGGGUUAAGUCCCGCAACGAGCGCAACCCUCGUUCUAUGUUGCCAGCACGUAAUGGUGGGAACUCAUGGGAUACUGCCGGGGUCAACUCGGAGGAAGGUGGGGACGACGUCAAAUCAUCAUGCCCCUUAUGUCUUGGGCUUCACGCAUGCUACAAUGGCCGAUACAAAGGGCUGCAAUACCGCAAGGUGGAGCGAAUCCCAAAAAGUCGGUCCCAGUUCGGAUUGAGGUCUGCAACUCGACCUCAUGAAGUCGGAGUCGCUAGUAAUCGCAGAUCACCACGCUGCGGUGAAUACGUUCCCGGGCUU